CCUACGGGCGGCAGCAGUGAGGAAUAUUGGUCAAUGGGCGGGAGCCUGAACCAGCCAUGCCGCGUGAAGGUGAGUGCCCUACGGGCGUUAAACUUCUUUUGUGCGGGAGCAAUAAGGGCCACGUGUGGCCCGAUGAGAGUACCGCACGAAUAAGCAUCGGCUAACUCCGUGCCAGCAGCCGCGGUAAUACGUAGGGGGCAAGCGUUAUCCGGAUUUACUGGGGGUAAAGGGAGCGUAGACGGUUAUGUAAGUCUGGAGUGAAAGCCCGGGGGCCAACCCCGGGACUGCUUUGGAAACUGUGUAACUGGAGUACAGGAGGGGCAGGCGGAAUUCCUGGUGUAGCGGUGAAAUGCGUAGAUAUCAGGAGGAACACCGGCGGCGAAGGCGGCCUGCUGGACUGAAACUGACGUUGAGGCUCGAAAGCGUGGGGAGCAAACAGGAUUAGAUACCCUGGUAGUC
RNAcentral lists this ribosomal RNA (459 nucleotides) under uncultured bacterium. Its description in RNAcentral is "partial 16S ribosomal RNA". It matches the Rfam family "Bacterial small subunit ribosomal RNA", at positions 338 to 795 of the family's 1533-position model. The record is from RNAcentral.